Molecule: ribosomal RNA, 57 nt
Filed under: uncultured eukaryote
Lineage: Eukaryota
Description: partial small subunit ribosomal RNA
Source: RNAcentral
CAGCGACUGGGGUGAAGUCGUAACAAGGUAGCCGUAGGGGAACCUGCAGAAGGAUCA